This 465-nucleotide ribosomal RNA is filed under the name Vreelandella stevensii. RNAcentral's name for it is "partial 16S ribosomal RNA". It matches the Rfam family "Bacterial small subunit ribosomal RNA", at positions 338 to 795 of the family's 1533-position model. Lineage: Bacteria; Pseudomonadati; Pseudomonadota; Gammaproteobacteria; Oceanospirillales; Halomonadaceae. The record is from RNAcentral.
CCUACGGGAGGCAGCAGUGGGGAAUAUUGGACAAUGGGAGCAACCCUGAUCCAGCCAUGCCGCGUGUGUGAAGAAGGCCCUCGGGUUGUAAAGCACUUUCAGUGAGGAAGAACGCCUGGUGGUUAAUACCCAUCAGGAAAGACAUCACUCACAGAAGAAGCACCGGCUAACUCCGUGCCAGCAGCCGCGGUAAUACGGAGGGUGCGAGCGUUAAUCGGAAUUACUGGGCGUAAAGCGCGCGUAGGUGGCUUGAUAAGCCGGUUGUGAAAGCCCCGGGCUCAACCUGGGAACGGCAUCCGGAACUGUCAAGCUAGAGUGCAGGAGAGGAAGGUAGAAUUCCCGGUGUAGCGGUGAAAUGCGUAGAGAUCGGGAGGAAUACCAGUGGCGAAGGCGGCCUUCUGGACUGACACUGACACUGAGGUGCGAAAGCGUGGGUAGCAAACAGGAUUAGAUACCCGAGUAGUC